RNAcentral lists this ribosomal RNA (525 nucleotides) under uncultured bacterium. Its description in RNAcentral is "partial 16S ribosomal RNA". It matches the Rfam family "Bacterial small subunit ribosomal RNA", at positions 355 to 868 of the family's 1533-position model. The record is from RNAcentral.
UGGGGAAUAUUGCACAAUGGGCGCAAGCCUGAUGCAGCCAUGCCGCGUGUGUGAAGAAGGCCUUCGGGUUGUAAAGCACUUUCAGCGAGGAGGAAGGUGGUGAGCUUAAUACGCUCAUCAAUUGACGUUACUCGCAGAAGAAGCACCGGCUAACUCCGUGCCAGCAGCCGCGGUAAUACGGAGGGUGCAAGCGUUAAUCGGAAUUACUGGGCGUAAAGCGCACGCAGGCGGUUUGUUAAGUCAGAUGUGAAAUCCCCGGGCUCAACCUGGGAACUGCAUUUGAAACUGGCAAGCUAGAGUCUCGUAGAGGGGGGUAGAAUUCCAGGUGUAGCGGUGAAAUGCGUAGAGAUCUGGAGGAAUACCGGUGGCGAAGGCGGCCCCCCUGGACGAAGACUGACGCUCAGGUGCGAAAGCGUGGGGCAGCAAACAGGAUUAGAUACCCCUGGUAGUCCAGCGCUGUAAACGAUGUCGAUUUGGAGGUUAUGCCCUUGAGGCGUGGCUUCCGGAGCUAACGCGUUAAAUCGA